GAUAUAGGUCAGUUGGUAGACUGCCUACCUCACAUGCACAAGGUCCUAGGUUCGAUCCCUAGAAAAACA
This 69-nucleotide transfer RNA is filed under the name Marmota monax (woodchuck). RNAcentral describes it as "tRNA.Val". Lineage: Eukaryota; Metazoa; Chordata; Mammalia; Rodentia; Sciuridae. The record is from RNAcentral.